Molecule: ribosomal RNA, 439 nt
Filed under: uncultured bacterium
Lineage: Bacteria
Description: partial 16S ribosomal RNA
Rfam family: Bacterial small subunit ribosomal RNA
Source: RNAcentral
CUACGGGAUGCACCAGUGAGGAAUAUUGCACAAUGGGGGGAACCCUGAUGCAGCAACGCCGCGUGGAGGAUGACGCAUUUCGGUGUGUAAACUCCUUUUAUAUGUCUAGAAAAUGACGGUAGCAUAUGAAUAAGCACCGGCUAACUCCGUGCCAGCAGCCGCGGUAAUACGGAGGGUGCAAGCGUUACUCGGAAUCACUGGGCGUAAAGGACGCGUAGGCGGGUUGGAAAGUCAGGUGUGAAAUCCUACAGCUUAACUGUAGAACUGCACUUGAAACUUCUAAUCUAGAGUAUGGGAGGGGGAGAUGGAAUUAGUGGUGUAGGGGUAAAAUCCGUAGAUAUCACUAGGAAUACCUAAGGCGAAGGCGAUCUCCUGGAACAUUACUGACGCUAAGGCGUGAAAGCGUGGGGAGCAAACAGGAUUAGAUACCCUUGUAGUC